UACGUAGGGUGCGAGCGUUAAUCGGAAUUACUGGGCGUAAAGCGUGCGCAGGCGGUGAUGUAAGACCGAUGUGAAAUCCCCGGGCUUAACCUGGGAACUGCAUUGGUGACUGCAUUGCUGGAGUAUGGCAGAGGGAGGUGGAAUUCCACGUGUAGCAGUGAAAUGCGUAGAGAUGUGGAGGAACACCGAUGGCGAAGGCAGCCCCCUGGGCCAAUACUGGCGCUCAUGCACGAAAGCGUGGGGAGCAAACAGG
Molecule: ribosomal RNA, 253 nt
Filed under: uncultured bacterium
Lineage: Bacteria
Description: partial 16S ribosomal RNA
Rfam family: Bacterial small subunit ribosomal RNA
Source: RNAcentral